RNAcentral lists this ribosomal RNA (51 nucleotides) under Jacquemontia verticillata. RNAcentral's name for it is "partial 26S ribosomal RNA". The record is from RNAcentral. Lineage: Eukaryota; Viridiplantae; Streptophyta; Magnoliopsida; Solanales; Convolvulaceae.
GACCCCAGGUCAGGCGGGACUACCCGCUGAGUUUAAGCAUAUCAAUAACAU